CCUACGGGCGGCAGCAGUGAGGAAUAUUGGUCAAUGGCCGCAGGGCUGAACCAGCCAAGUCGCGUGAGGGAUGACGGUCCUAUGGAUUGUAAACCUCUUUUGUCAGGGAGCAAAGGGCGCCACGUGUGGCGCUUUGCGAGUACCUGAAGAAAAAGCAUCGGCUAACUCCGUGCCAGCAGCCGCGGUAAUACGGAGGAUGCGAGCGUUAUCCGGAUUUAUUGGGUUUAAAGGGUGCGCAGGCGGAAUGUCAAGUCAGCGGUAAAAUUUCGGGGCUCAACCCCGUCGUGCCGUUGAGACUGGCGUUCUUGAGUGAGCGAGAAGUAUGCGGAAUGCGUGGUGUAGCGGUGAAAUGCAUAGAUAUCACGCAGAACUCCGAUUGCGAAGGCAGCAUACCGGCGCUCAACUGACGCUCAUGCACGAAAGCGUGGGUAUCGAACAGGAUUAGAUACCCCAGUAGUC
RNAcentral lists this ribosomal RNA (459 nucleotides) under uncultured bacterium. RNAcentral describes it as "partial 16S ribosomal RNA". It matches the Rfam family "Bacterial small subunit ribosomal RNA", at positions 338 to 795 of the family's 1533-position model. The record is from RNAcentral.